UUUAAUGAGAGUUUGAUCCUGGCUCAGGACGAACGCUGGCGGCGUGCCUAAUACAUGCAAGUAGAACGCUGAAGGAGGAGCUUGCUUCUCUGGAUGAGUUGCGAACGGGUGAGUAACGCGUAGGUAACCUGCCUGGUAGCGGGGGAUAACUAUUGGAAACGAUAGCUAAUACCGCAUAAGAGUGGAUGUUGCAUGACAUUUGCUUAAAAGGUGCACUUGCAUCACUACCAG
Molecule: ribosomal RNA, 231 nt
Filed under: Ochrobactrum sp. POC9
Lineage: Bacteria; Pseudomonadati; Pseudomonadota; Alphaproteobacteria; Hyphomicrobiales; Brucellaceae
Description: partial 16S ribosomal RNA
Rfam family: Bacterial small subunit ribosomal RNA
Source: RNAcentral